AGUGGCGGACGGGUGAGUAACGCGUGGGUAACCUGCCUCAUACAGGGGGAUAACAGUUAGAAAUGACUGCUAAUACCGCAUAAGCGCACGGUUUCGCAUGGAACAGUGUGAAAAACUCCGGUGGUAUGGGAUGGACCCGCGUCUGAUUAGCUGGUUGGCGGGGUAACGGCCCACCAAGGCGACGAUCAGUAGCCGGCCUGAGAGGGUGAACGGCCACAUUGGGACUGAGACACGGCCCAAACUCCUACGGGAGGCAGCAG
RNAcentral lists this ribosomal RNA (260 nucleotides) under uncultured bacterium. Its description in RNAcentral is "partial 16S ribosomal RNA". It matches the Rfam family "Bacterial small subunit ribosomal RNA", at positions 94 to 354 of the family's 1533-position model. The record is from RNAcentral.